RNAcentral lists this ribosomal RNA (397 nucleotides) under uncultured bacterium. Its description in RNAcentral is "bacterial SSU rRNA". It matches the Rfam family "Bacterial small subunit ribosomal RNA", at positions 521 to 916 of the family's 1533-position model. The record is from RNAcentral.
UAAGACGAGGGAUCCUAGCGUUGUUCGGAAUCAUUGGGCGUAAAGAGGGCGUAGGUGGCUUGGUAAGUCAGGUGUGAAAGCCCAGGGCUCAACCCUGGAAGUGCAUUUGAUACUGCUGAGCUUGAGUGUUGGAGAGGUCAUUGGAAUACCUGGUGUAGUGGUGAAAUACGUAGAUAUCAGGUGGAACACCGGAGGCGAAGGCGAGUGACUGGCCAAACACUGACACUGAGGCCCGAAAGCGUGGGGAUCAAACAGGAUUAGAUACCCUGGUAGUCCACGCCGUAAACGAUGGAUACUUGCUGUUGGAGGUAUUGACCCCUUCAGUGGCGAAGCUAACGCGUUAAGUAUCCCGCCUGGGGAGUACGGUCGCAAGAUUAAAACUCAAAUGAAUUGACGG